This 776-nucleotide ribosomal RNA is filed under the name uncultured Neocallimastigales. RNAcentral's name for it is "partial large subunit ribosomal RNA". It matches the Rfam family "Eukaryotic large subunit ribosomal RNA", at positions 17 to 620 of the family's 3401-position model. Lineage: Eukaryota; Fungi; Neocallimastigomycota; Neocallimastigomycetes; Neocallimastigales. The record is from RNAcentral.
AGAGGAGACAUGCGCGCAUAUCAAUAAGCGGAGGAAAAGGAAACUAACUAGGAUUCCCUUAGUAACGGCGAGUGAAGCGGGAAGAGCUCAAAUUUGAAAUCUUCAAGGUUUUACCUUGACGAAUUGUAGUUUAAAGAAGUGUUUUCUGCUGAAGUUUUGGUAAAAGUUCCUUGGAAUAGGACAUCAUAGAGGGUGAGAAUCCCGUAUUUGACCAUUAUUUUCAGCUUUGUGAUACACUUUCAAAGAGUCGGAUUGUUUGGGAAUGCAGUCCAAAAUGGGUGGUAAAUUUCAUCUAAAGCUAAAUAUUGGCGAGAGACCGAUAGCGAACAAGUACCGUGAGGGAAAGAUGAAAAGAACUUUGAAAAGAGAGUUAAACAGUACGUGAAAUUGUCAAAAGGGAAGCGUUUGACACCAGUGUUGUUUUCUCGAAAAUCAAUUAAAAAUGGCUCGAUUUUGUAUUGCUUGAGACCUUAAAAGCUCACUGUACAUUUUUCGUGUCUUUUUUAAUGCACUUUUCGUUUAACAAGUCAACAUCAGUUUCUUUUGUUGUAAAGGGGUCAUUGGAAGGUGGCUUUCUUUUCGGAGAAAGUGUUUAUAGCCUUUGGCCUCUGCAAUCGGAAGAGACUGAGGUCUGCAGCGUAGACUCUUCGGGGUUAGAUACAUUUGUGCUAAGUUAUAGCUUUUUAUAGACAACUUGUUGACUAUAAUUAGUCUUGUAGCUUACUCGCUUAUGCUAUUUUACCUACGCUUAGGAUGUUGAAGAUGUAGCACAUCAU